Solenopsis invicta (red fire ant) is the source of this 3953-nucleotide RNA transcript. It is a transcript of the gene named kinesin-like protein KIF18A, with no coding region annotated. The transcript has 3 exons. Lineage: Eukaryota; Metazoa; Arthropoda; Insecta; Hymenoptera; Formicidae. The record is from RefSeq and is a predicted model, not a curated record.
UUUAAAAUUCAAAACUCAACGGAACGCCAAACGGCUCUUCGUGUGCAUUCUUUUGGUGACGUGCGCUCGUUCGUUAGCUCGUGUCAAUUUUGAUACAGUUCUCCGCUUUCGCGACGAGAGGGAACGAGAGAGAGGAAGAGAGACGUGCCCCCGACCGAGCGAGUUUCCGUAAACGUUGGGCAACGGUUCCGGAAUAAAAGACGGGACGCUGAAAAGCUUCAGGAGGCAAUCAAUGGCGAUGCUACGAUGUGAGAACGACGUAAGCGGCGUCUGCUCUCUCGCUCUCUGAAGUGCUAAAGUUAUGGUACUGUGAGAAUCGCGAAUCAGUCGAAACUCGUAGCUAACGAUGGUUUUCACCAAGAGGGAUUUGGGCAAGGCGUUCUCGCCGAGCAAGGGUAGGAAACCGGCGAUGAAGAAGCGGCCGUCGACCGGCGGAUCGACCAAGCCGGGCACGAGCGGCACCCCGAUGAUAAAAAAAUCCGAGGAUACCUCCGAGAUAUCGAUCAAGGUGAUCGUGAGGAUUCGUCCGCCAAACGAACGUGAGUUACAGGACAACAGCAAAACGGUCAUCGAGGUCGUGGACGACAAGAUGCUGAUCUUCGACCCGAAGGAACAGGCGACGCCGUUCUUCUUCCACAACGUGGCGCAGAAGGGUAGGGACAUGCUGAAGAAACAGAACAAGCAGCUGCAGUUUAUUUUUGACAGGGUCUUCGACUCGACAUCCACCAACACUGAUGUGUUCGAGGGCAGCACCAAGAGCUUGAUCAAUAGCCUCUUGGACGGCUACAAUUGCUCCGUGUUCGCUUAUGGUGCCACCGGCGCUGGUAAAACUCACACCAUGCUGGGCAACAAAGAAGACCUCGGUAUCACUUACCGUACUGUGGCGGAGCUCUUCUCCGAGAUUGAGAAUCAGAGCAAGCAUCGCGAGUUUAAUUUGGGCGUGUCUUAUCUCGAAAUAUAUAACGAGAAUGUGCAGGACCUGCUGCAUAAGUCCGGCCAGUUGCAUCUGAGGGAGGACGGUAGGUGCGGCGUCGUGGUCGCCGGAUUGGAACCGAUCGCUAUUCAAAACGCCGAGGAAUUGCUGUCGCUGUUGGCAGAGGGCAACAAGAACCGUACGCAGCAUCCGACGGACGCGAACAAGGAGAGCAGUAGAAGCCACGCGGUAUUCCAAGUGUACAUCAAGAUAAUCAACAAGCUGGACAGUCAGGUGCAGCGAGUCAAGCUGUCCAUGAUUGAUUUGGCAGGAUCCGAAAGAGCUUCGGCUACCGGUUGCAAAGGCGUGAGGUUUAAGGAAGGCGCCAACAUCAAUAAAUCCCUGUUGGCCCUUGGAAAUUGCAUAAAUAAUUUAGCAGAUGGUAUAAAGCAUAUUCCAUAUAGAGACUCCAAACUUACGAGGCUAUUAAAAGAUUCGCUCGGUGGCAAUUGCCACACAGUUAUGAUAGCUAAUAUCGCUCCUUGUAGUAUUACUUAUGAAGAUACGUAUAAUACUUUAAGAUACGCGAAUCGAGCGAAGAAGAUAAAAUCAUACGCCAAGAAGAAUGUGUCUUGCGAGAUGCACGUCGCGGGCUAUAUCAAGAUAGUGGAGGAGCAGAAGAAGGAAAUAGAUAUCUUGAAAUCGAAAUUGGCAGUUUUCGAAAACGGCACGCUGCAACCGAUCGAGAACAAGCCAAGUGUCGGAAUGUUGGAGAUGUACAACAAACUGAUAAAAUUACAUGAAAAGAAGAAGGAUCUGAUAGAGAGAAUGCUGGCUCUGGAGAGCUCUGAUAAGAUAUUGGCAUAUAGGAUACUCUUCAAGAAGGACGCGGAUGAUAGGCUGCACAAUUUAACGGCAGCCAGCGACGCCUUGUCGCAGGAAGAACAAAACGCCAGCGGUAAAUCGCGUAUUAAUAAAUCUGUACAUUAUUUCCAGCGGCAGAGAGAGUCCCUUAAGGCGCAUAUGCAAGAGACGUGGGAGGAACUGUGCUCGGUCGAGAUGGAGAUACAGGAGGCGAAGACUAAACCCAUGGACGAGAAUCUACAGAAUCAACUAUCUUUGGAAAUUUCCAAGCUUGAGAAAUGCUGGAUUUCCGUUAUGCAACAGCAUGUGAAGAAAGUCAGUAGUCUACUGCAGUGCGAGAGACAGUCGGUCAACACUAUAAUGAAAAAUAUGAGCAAUGUAUUGCAGAAUUACUAUAAUAUGUUAAAAGGCUACGGUACAAUGACCGAAAAGAUGCAAUCGGAGUUUAAGGAGUUGAUAAAGUUGCUCGAAGGUUUUCGAAACAUCAAAUGGUCCGAUUCGGACGAGAUGAGUAAAGAAUACGAUUUCAACAUGUUUACAUGUUUGAGUACAGUCGGAAUAGAUCCAUUAAAUAAUCCAAUGCCAGCAAUCGGCGCAACGAUACUAGAGACGGAAAACAAUGAGGAACAGGACAACUGCAACAUGAAUAUUUUGAAUUCCACCUUCAAUGCGAGUGAAAGCAAUUGUAUCGACGGCAAUAUCUUGAACGACGAAAGUAAUAAUCACGAAAGUAAUAAUCACGAAAGUAAUAAUCACGAAAGUAAAUCCAUGCUGAAAGACGAAUCUGUGCAAGAAAUUCCAAUGGAAAAAUCUGCGAAGAAUUUAUUCAGGAAACGUGUAUUGUCUGACAAAAACAGUGAAACCAGCAGUACACCCUCCAAGCAGACGAAGAAGCCAAUAAUGAAUAACAAAACUACUGUACAGAAUAAUACUAGUCGAUUGGACAAGGAGAACAAACAUAGGCCUAUACAAAUGAGUGCAAAGAGUGUCGCCAUUUUAAAUAAAUUAAAGAGCGAAGCAACUAAUUUUUCAUCUCUUUCUCGGCACAAUAAUAGCGAUGAAAAAACGGACAUGGCGCUCAAGGCGAUACGUAAUAAAGAGAGGCGCGGCCUUAUGACAACUCAUCCGUAUCAAAAGUCGACCAUUACAAAAAAACCUGCUCCAGCUCCACCAUCUACGAGAGUUCCAUGGUAAAAUUAGACAAAAAUUUGGCACUUGGAUGCAAGAUUGAAGAGAUGGCGAUCGUACAAACAUGGCGUUAACUAUCGUGUGCAACUUUGGAAUACUCACAUAUUUCCGCAAGGCAUGCGACACGUGUUUCGAAAUUUCUGGAAUUCUCAAGUCCGCGGCAGAUUGUCGACCGCUAACUAUCGUCGGCAGGAUCGAUCGCGAACGCUCAAAAAGCGUGGCGAACGAUUGCAAUAGAAAUGCCAGAAACGCCAGUGACGCUAACACGCUGAUGGGAUCAAAGGCACUAAAAUACCCAUCAUUUAUCACCGUUGACGAAUAUCGCAACGAGGGAAGAGGAUUCGAGAUACGAUUAUUAUUUCAAGGAAAUACACUUACUGGUAAUAAGCCGGCCAUGCGGAAUGCGAGCCGAGUCCACCGCCGUAGUAACUGCGUUGAAUCGAUUGUUGUUUGCGUAUAUUCGGAAAAUUCGAAUAAGGUAGAAACGAUACGCUCUUCGAACCCGUCUUGUACGUAUCCGAUAAGUAACACAGGGGCGGAUUACUGCAAGACGGCGCUUCGCUUAUAGUCCUUUCCAAUCUUGUUGUUUGCAUCUCGCAUCGAAUAAUGUCGAACGCACCAAGGAGUAAAAACGCAAUCUUCAACAUUUUACCUUUUUAAAUGACUGUUUAAACUUUCGAUUUUUUUUUAUUUUUUAUAUUCUGCGCGUGGCGAUACACAGAAUAAGAUUCUCAGCGCAUUUUAAGAGCGAGACUAUUAUUACAAUGCACAAAAAAUUCCAAUCGUAAUAUUUUUACGCGAUGUCGAAGUUUCCAGCUCACAUCUCGAAGAUAUGGGUGACUCGACAUGCUCGGCAAAUAUAUAGAUACCGAGAAAGAAAUGAUAACGAGCCGUUUUCAGUUGAUUCUUUGUACGCUCCAAUUGUGAGUUUUAUUCAAAUUGUAGUAAAUUCAAAUACUGUUACAAAUAAAGUAAUUCGAUCUCGCGA